Molecule: transfer RNA, 76 nt
Filed under: Pseudomonas viridiflava
Lineage: Bacteria; Pseudomonadati; Pseudomonadota; Gammaproteobacteria; Pseudomonadales; Pseudomonadaceae
Also listed under: 1 other name
Description: tRNA-Asn
Rfam family: tRNA
About the family: Transfer RNA (tRNA) molecules are approximately 80 nucleotides in length. Their secondary structure includes four short double-helical elements and three loops (D, anti-codon, and T loops).
Source: RNAcentral
UCCGCGAUAGCUCAGUUGGUAGAGCAAGUGACUGUUAAUCAUUUGGUCCCUGGUUCGAGUCCAGGUCGUGGAGCCA